CGGUCGUGGAGAGCCGUGCGUAGGCGGGUGGAGGAGAGGAGGAAAAGUGAAAGGAAGAGGAGAAAAAGAGAUGAGCAACGAGGGGGGGGGGGGGUGAGGAAGAGGAUGAACAUGAGUCCAGGGGGGUUCCCAUGGCCGAGCAGACUUCAGCUACAGCAGGAUUCACACAAAUCCUCCUCUACGUGCCGUCAGAGCUUCAAAUCGUGACCAGACGAAGGAAAAAAAAGUUUACCUACGGUUAAACAGCGUGAAGGGCCAGAAAUCGAAGGAUUCACUCGCUGACGUCAAAGACAGUGGCUCGCAAAUCUGCACAGAUCGGACAUCAAAACUACAAGCUACAAAUACACACAAGAGCACAACAGGAUUUUACACAACAUUAAGUGGAUGGGAUCUAAGGGAAUACUGCAGAGAUGGGGAACGCUGGAGGAGAGUGACAUGAACUGGCCUAAUUAAGCCCCCGUCCCCGCCCCCUCCCCCGCCAUCCACCGAAUUAACCUCCACCUACCGUCCU
Molecule: long non-coding RNA, 511 nt
Filed under: Gouania willdenowi (blunt-snouted clingfish)
Lineage: Eukaryota; Metazoa; Chordata; Actinopteri; Blenniiformes; Gobiesocidae
Description: lncRNA (ENSGWIG00000012423.1)
Source: RNAcentral